This is a long non-coding RNA of Lathyrus oleraceus (garden pea), 748 nucleotides long. RefSeq lists it as uncharacterized. The transcript is spliced from 2 exons. Lineage: Eukaryota; Viridiplantae; Streptophyta; Magnoliopsida; Fabales; Fabaceae. The record is from RefSeq and is a predicted model, not a curated record.
UGUUUCUUUAGUUUUUACUUUGGUAAACAAGUAAGGUUCAAUGUUGAAAAAGAAAAAUACAACUUUACCAAAUUAAUCGACUUUUCACGUUCCAUCAAAAUUAGUCUACCUUUUAGACUUUACAACUUGCCCUAGCUGUUCGCUCCCGUAUCGAUUUCAUUCUCUGUUUGUAUCCGAUUUGAUUUCGUUCGCCGUUUUUCAUCCGCAUUCGUUUUGAUUCUGUUCGACUCUGUUCUCUACCUUACGCCACCGUUUUGAUUAGGUUCUCUGCCAUUUUGAUUAUUUAUAAUGUACUCUUCUAUAGAUUUGUUUAUCUAAUCUCAAGGGUGGGUUAUUGCUUGGUUUAUCUAAUCUCACUAGUGGAAAUGAUGAGACUGAUGGAUGAGGCUUUCUCGUCUAUUGAGGGACCCAUUUCAGAAGAAGCUCUUGAAAACGUCUGAGCUGCUUUAGGAAUAGAUGAAUCUCCCCAGGAACACAUGAGGCGCAACUGGUCUAUUUGAAUAAGGUCUUUUGGGAAAUUAGACCAAUUGAUAAUGUUUCAGUGCAUUGUUUGAAAUUAGACUUUUGGGGAAAAUGGGAGAGAUGAAUCUCCUUAGGAACACAAACCACCUAUUAAGUACAUUCGCCUUCAUGAGUGUGACAAAUUUUCUGUAAGGAUAUAGAUUUUUUUUCUGUAUUCUGCGGCUUGUCCAUGUUUACUCUUUGUUACUCUAUUUGAAUAUAUUUUUAGCUUGGAUUUGACCAUGAA